UUUAGAAUGCUUAAAAGGCCUAUGUUAUAUAUGAUGAAAUUUUGGACCUCUAUGUAGUAGAGAGUAGCUUGGUAGGCCUAUAGUUGCAUUUAGCAUUCUAUAUGAGACGUGGUUUCAUGCUCCUAUAGUGUAAAUGAGAUUGGAUUCAUGCAUUUAAACCUAAGUUUAUUGAGACAUGAAAGUUGACAAGAUUGCCCUUUAGAAGGUAUGUGAACUGGAG
Molecule: long non-coding RNA, 220 nt
Filed under: Ananas comosus (pineapple)
Lineage: Eukaryota; Viridiplantae; Streptophyta; Magnoliopsida; Poales; Bromeliaceae
Description: long non-coding RNA (ACOM_LNC005301)
Source: RNAcentral